Molecule: long non-coding RNA, 1336 nt
Filed under: Triticum aestivum (bread wheat)
Lineage: Eukaryota; Viridiplantae; Streptophyta; Magnoliopsida; Poales; Poaceae
Description: long non-coding RNA (TAES_LNC016545)
Source: RNAcentral
UGCAAGUGUUAAUAUAGUCGACUGAUUUUUUAAACACACGAAACAAAUUGCACUUCAUACAUAGGGGUAAUGAAACAUCAUUCUUUUUUACACAAACUGAGUGCACUUCAAAAGAAAUCUCCAAAAAAUGCAAAACAUGGAUGGAGUGAACUACGUCGCGCAUCUUUUUCAUGAAAAAAAUGUACUGCACGCAUGCGCGGGGUGAGAGGCAGACUACACGCACAUCCAGUGGGACUACAAGCAGACUACACGCACAUCGAGUAAACUGCAUGGUGAGCCAUCGAGGUGAAUGCGAUUGAAGCAAACUUCAAAAUUUGUCAUAAUCCCGACGAUGUGAGCCUCACAGUACAGAAGUGCACUGCAUGGCGAGUCGAUGAUGGCCACAUGCGCUUGCUUUGUGGACUGCUCCAGGGAGACCUUGCGCUACUGAACCCAAGAGAGGAAGAAUGGGGGAGUGCACGGUUUCGCCAACGAAGGGGACGAAGUGAGCUGCAGUUCAAGAAAAAUAUUACCAUGCGUGAAGAAGUGAGCUGCAACUGUACAUGCACAAUACCGAAGUACACAUGCAUACAUACUUAACUGCACAACAAAGACCGGUGAAGCUCGUCUCCAACUUUGGUGUAGAUGUCGGCCGGCAGGCGUCCAGGAAUGCCAGGGAGGAGGUGAUUGCAUGCACGCUACGCUGGUACUGCAUGCAAGCCGUAUUGCACUGCACCUCGAGGGGUCGAACACAGCCGUUUUUGCUCUAAACUGCACCGCGGAGCAUGCACAUAAUUAGCAUUUUAUCACCCGGUCAAACUGCAAUUGAGGACAAGAAAUUUUUGUUAUAAUGAACUACAAUCCACAAGCACCACCAAAUUUGGGGUUUGCCGGACUGCCACCACCGCACUGAAUCUGCUCGACAAGGACUGCAGAAUCCAAAAUCUACAUAAGGGAGAGCAAAACAAACCUUUUUAUGAACUGCACACGGGUAGAUGCUGCUCUUCAAGAGCAUUGUUGCUGUGUCAUUGACCAAACCACGCCACAACUGGAAAUACUGCUCUUCCAGGGGCGUUUUCUACUGCAUUGAGACUUUAUGGAACUGCAUUAGAGACUUCAAGUGCACAGGCACCGAACCGCAUCAUGCGUGCGCCCGAGCUGAACCGCAUAACUCAUGCCGCCGUGUAGAUGGAGGCCGAGCGGGGUGGAGAUGAUAGGCACAGGGGGCGCUGCCGCACUACUCGCCUGCGGGCUGGAGCAUUGCAGGAAAAAGACGGGAAGGAGGUAGUGUUUUGGGGACGGUCGUGUGCUGGGAACGGCGACGGGCGGAGAUGGUGCGGGCCGGAGCCAGCGACGG